UGACAGAAGAGAGUGAGCACACAUGGUGUUUUUCUUGCAUGAAAAAUCAUUCUUACAUGCUUGAAGCUAUGCGUGCUCACUCUCUCUCUGUCA
Molecule: microRNA precursor, 93 nt
Filed under: Phelipanche ramosa
Lineage: Eukaryota; Viridiplantae; Streptophyta; Magnoliopsida; Lamiales; Orobanchaceae
Description: miR156f
Rfam family: mir-156 microRNA precursor family
About the family: This family represents the plant microRNA (miRNA) precursor mir-156. Animal miRNAs are transcribed as ~70nt precursors and subsequently processed by the Dicer enzyme to give a ~22nt product. In plants the precursor sequences may be longer, and the carpel factory (caf) enzyme appears to be involved in processing.
Source: RNAcentral